RNAcentral lists this ribosomal RNA (251 nucleotides) under uncultured Alloscardovia sp. Its description in RNAcentral is "partial 16S ribosomal RNA". It matches the Rfam family "Bacterial small subunit ribosomal RNA", at positions 88 to 339 of the family's 1533-position model. The record is from RNAcentral. Lineage: Bacteria; Bacillati; Actinomycetota; Actinomycetes; Bifidobacteriales; Bifidobacteriaceae.
GGUGAGAGUGGCGAACGGGUGAGUAACGCGUGAUUAACCUGCCGUGUAGUUUGGAAUAGCUCCUGGAAACGGGUGGUAAUGCCGAAUGUUCCACAUGCUCGCAUGGGUGUGUGGGAAAACGUUUUAGUGCUAUGCGAUGGGAUCGCGUCCUAUCAGCUUGUUGGUGGGGUAGUGGCCUACCAAGGCUUCGACGGGUAGCCGGCCUGAGAGGGCGACCGGCCACAUUGGGACUGAGAUACGGCCCAGACUCC